Molecule: ribosomal RNA, 258 nt
Filed under: Escherichia coli
Lineage: Bacteria; Pseudomonadati; Pseudomonadota; Gammaproteobacteria; Enterobacterales; Enterobacteriaceae
Description: partial 16S ribosomal RNA
Rfam family: Bacterial small subunit ribosomal RNA
Source: RNAcentral
UUCGUGCCAGCAGCCGCGGUAAGACGAACCGUGCAAACGUUAUUCGGAAUCACUGGGCAUAAAGGGCGCGUAGGCGGCUUUCUAAGUCAGGGGUGAAAUCCGGCAGCUCAACUGUCGCAGUGCCUUUGAUACUGGAGAGCUCGAGGGAGGUAGGGGUCUGUGGAACUUCCGGUGGAGCGGUGAAAUGCGUUGAUAUCGGAAGGAACGCCGGUGGCGAAAGCGACGGACUGGAUCUCUUCUGACGCUGAGGCGCGAAAG